AUUGAACGCUGGCGGCAUGCCUAACACAUGCAAGUCGAACGGUAAGGCCCUUCGGGGUACACGAGUGGCGAACGGGUGAGUAACACGUGGGUGAUCUGCCCUGCACUUUGGGAUAAGCCUGGGAAACUGGGUCUAAUACCGAAUACACCCUGCUGGUCGCAUGGCCUGGUGGGGGAAAGCUUUUGCGGUGUGGGAUGGGCCCGCGGCUUAUCAGCUUGUUGGUGGGGUGAUGGCCUACCAAGGCGACGACGGGUAGCCGGCCUGAGAGGGUGGCCGGCCACACUGGGACUGAGGUACGGCCCAGACUCCUACGGGAGGCAGCAGUGGGGAAUAUUGCACAAUGGGCGCAAGCCUGAUGCAGCGACGCCGCGUGAGGGAUGACGGCCUUCGGGUUGUAAACCUCUUUCAAUAGGGACGAAGCGCAAGUGACGGUACCUAUAGAAGAAGGACCGGCCAACUACGUGCCAGCAGCCGCCGUAA
RNAcentral lists this ribosomal RNA (480 nucleotides) under uncultured bacterium. RNAcentral describes it as "partial 16S ribosomal RNA". It matches the Rfam family "Bacterial small subunit ribosomal RNA", at positions 28 to 523 of the family's 1533-position model. The record is from RNAcentral.